Long non-coding RNA from Gorilla gorilla gorilla (western lowland gorilla), 350 nucleotides. RefSeq lists it as uncharacterized. NCBI's taxonomy places the organism in Eukaryota, Metazoa, Chordata, Mammalia, Primates, Hominidae. The record is from RefSeq and is a predicted model, not a curated record. The transcript is spliced from 2 exons.
ACCAUUCUCAAAUGUAUCUCCCUGACCAACUGAAAUUAGGAGUUUAUAUAGCAGGGAAGAAAUGUGGGAAAACAGGAAUUAGGCAGGGGUAAGGAAGAUAAUUUGGUCAACAGGAAGCAGGAGGUCAGUGAGGCAAUCAUAAUGGGUGAAGGUUCUGAUGUCUCACUGUCCCAAUUCAGUGAUAUGUACCAAUGGAGAAUAUUGAGUCAUCCUUUUCGGACUUCCAAAUCUCAUGGGAGGACUUCUUAUUGGGCAACUCUAUAAGAAACAAGAGAGACAAAAUGGGAAUUUAUGUAAGUUAAAAUGAUUUUCCCCCAUGAGGCCAUUUAAAUAAAUAAUAUUUAAAGCCA